UACGUAGGGUGCAAGCGUUACUCGGAAUUGCUGGGCGUAAAGCGUGCGCAGGCGGCUUUGCAAGACAGAUGUGAAAUCCCCGGGCUUAACCUGGGAACUGCAUUUGUGACUGCAUGGCUGGAGUGCGGCAGAGGGGGAUGGAAUUCCGCGUGUAGCAGUGAAAUGCGUAGAUAUGCGGAGGAACACCGAUGGCGAAGGCAGGUCUCUGGGCUGACACUGACGCUCAUGCACGAAAGCGUGGGGAGCAAACAGG
Molecule: ribosomal RNA, 253 nt
Filed under: uncultured bacterium
Lineage: Bacteria
Description: partial 16S ribosomal RNA
Rfam family: Bacterial small subunit ribosomal RNA
Source: RNAcentral